Molecule: transfer RNA, 76 nt
Filed under: bacterium
Lineage: Bacteria
Also listed under: 1 other name
Description: tRNA-Thr
Rfam family: tRNA
About the family: Transfer RNA (tRNA) molecules are approximately 80 nucleotides in length.
Source: RNAcentral
GCCUGCGUAGCUCAGUCGGUAGAGCACUUCCUUGGUAAGGAAGAGGUCACCGGUUCAAAUCCGGUCGUAGGCUCUA